AUUGAACGCUGGCGGCAUGCUUUACACAUGCAAGUCGAACGGUAACAGGCCUUCGGGUGCUGACGAGUGGCGAACGGGUGAGUAAUGCAUCGGAACGUACCCAGAGGUGGGGGAUAACGCAGCGAAAGCUGUGCUAAUACCGCAUGUGAUCUGAGGAUGAAAGCGGGGGACCGAGCAGCAAUGUUUGGCCUCGCGCCUUUGGAGCGGCCGAUGUCGGAUUAGCUAGUUGGUGGGGUAAAGGCCUACCAAGGCGACGAUCCGUAGCUGGUCUGAGAGGACGACCGGCCACACUGGGACUUGGACACGGACCAGACUCCUGCGAGAGGCAGCAGUGGGGAAUUUUAGGCAAUGGUCGCAAGCCUGAUCCAGCAAUGCCGCGUGCGAGAAGAAGGCCUUCGGGUUGUAAACCGCUUUUGGCAGGAGCGAAACGGUGUCCGCUAAUACCGGGCGCUAAUGACGGUACCUGCAGAAUAAGCACCGGCUAACUACGUG
Molecule: ribosomal RNA, 492 nt
Filed under: uncultured bacterium
Lineage: Bacteria
Description: partial 16S ribosomal RNA
Rfam family: Bacterial small subunit ribosomal RNA
Source: RNAcentral